UAAAAUUUGGACGCGGAUUCAUUUUGGGCUAAAUUGUCAAUUUUGAAGAGUUCAAGGACCAAAGUGCAAAUUAGCCAAUUUAGCCUCGAGAAUAGAAAUUGGAAGAUUAUCGACGGAAAUAAUUAUUUUUGGAGUAGUAUUAUUUAUUGGGAUAUAAAUAAUACGUAGAUAAUCGAGUUUAAAUGAAUAAAUAACCGUUUAGUUAAAAUUGAAAGUUUAAAAGAGAAUUGGUUAAGUUAAAGAAAUGAAGGACUAAAGUGGCUAAUUAGCCAAUCUAUAUAAAGAAAAGAAAGAGAUCAGAUAGAGGAAGAAGAAGGAGCGUACAGAAGGUUUUAGGCGAUCGAUUCGAUCCGCCGCGGUUUCGCCGUUUCUCGUCCAAAUCGAGUGAUUCUCGCGCCGAUGGAUUAAGAAUUCAAUUCCCUAUCAUCUUUAAGCUUCAAAUCGAGGAAGUGGAUACAUCGACGAGGUACGAGAUCGACGAGCUGGAAUAGUUAAAAGAGUGAAUGACGUGUGGAGCUUACGUUUGGAUAUAAGGAAUAGCGAUCGUUGUGUAUAGAGUCGGAUCAGACAGACCGUCUUUGGUGUGCUGGGUACAAGACCCCUUGGUGCUGCAGUAGUAUACGUGUGACGAGUCUUAGCCUAGUAUAGUUAGGUCUUAUAGGUUGUGUACGUGUUUAAUGUUUGUUUGAUGUGACAUCUUUUGGUUGUCAGUUUUUGUAUUGAUCGAUAGAUGGGCUAGUACGUACCAGUUACGGAAGUGAAAUGCCCACUAUGAUUGUAUCGAUGAUGUGUCUAUAUAUGAUGUUAUGUUAUGAUUGUAAACGUGUCUUUCUUAUUAUAUGUCUAUAGGAUAGUUGUGUUUGCGUUUCCGCGAAAAAGUUAGAGUGGUUUUAGGCUUGCUACGGGUUUCGGAGCUACCACUCCCAUUCCCUAGCGCCGGUCUCGGCUCAAUAAUUUGGGUCGUGACAAAGUUGGUAUCAGAGCAGUUGGUCCAGUUACCUCUGCUAAUAUGUGAUUUGAGUGCAGUUGGUCCAUGAUACCACUGCAAGUCUGUGAUUGAUGUUUGUUUGUUCCUAGGUAUU
Long non-coding RNA from Mercurialis annua (annual mercury), 1082 nucleotides. RefSeq lists it as uncharacterized. The transcript has 3 exons. The record is from RefSeq and is a predicted model, not a curated record. NCBI's taxonomy places the organism in Eukaryota, Viridiplantae, Streptophyta, Magnoliopsida, Malpighiales, Euphorbiaceae.